RNAcentral lists this unclassified non-coding RNA (356 nucleotides) under fungal sp. RNAcentral describes it as "partial internal transcribed spacer region". The stretch from base 1 to 46 matches the Rfam family "Eukaryotic small subunit ribosomal RNA", at positions 1786 to 1831 of the family's 1831-position model. Lineage: Eukaryota; Fungi. The record is from RNAcentral.
AAGUCGUAACAAGGUUUCCGUAGGUGAACCUGCGGAAGGAUCAUUACCAAAAAUCCCAUCAUUAUCAACCAACCCUGUGAACCCGUACAAAACACGCCCUUUGGGGAGCUCCUUAAGUGGUGACAAAGGCGUCGUUUGCUGGUGGCUUUCGUGUGUGCGUGCUCGUCACGUAUCCCACAUCUGCUGGCUUCCGACGUUCUGCUCCCCAAAUGGGUUUUUUCUCUUUGUCGCCCAUUUAUCCAACCUAUUGCGAAAAGUAAACCAUGCCAAUUGUCAAUACCAACAUGCGAGGGGCAACUCUCUACUGUUGAAAUACGAAAGUUAUACAACUUUCAACGGCGGAUCUCUUGGCUCGU